Molecule: long non-coding RNA, 616 nt
Organism: Daucus carota subsp. sativus
Lineage: Eukaryota; Viridiplantae; Streptophyta; Magnoliopsida; Apiales; Apiaceae
Exons: 3
Source: RefSeq, a predicted model, not a curated record
UAUUAUCAUCCAGUCUCUAAGAUUUUUCUUUGACUGUGCACUGCUUAUUCAACAAUAGACAGGCUUUGACAUAUGAUCAUUAAUUUGGCUGCGAGAUUAAAGGUUGCUACUCUUCAGGAAGACAAAUCUGCUUUUGACGUUGAUCGUUUACAAACAUACACUGGGCAGAGUCCAUUCUUCUUCUAAAUAUUCAAAGCAGCUAUGAGUGAGAACAAGACAACGAUACCUGGCUUGAAAAUCCUAUAUUGCCUGAUGAUAUUUUGAAGGAAGCAGUACCUGGGAAUAUCCGACGGGCAGAGCAUUUCUUGUUUGUUCUAUGCAGAUUAGAGUUCAGUAUCCUAAAGGGUGACUAGAAAACUAAAAAAAAACAGAAAAUGUAGUGAAGGAAGGACUAGUUACAUUUGUUGGCUCUAUAAAUGCACAUGUUGGGAUUGACCGCUACAGUUUUGUUACGAUCGACUUCUCUCUCUGAUGUUAACACCGGAGAGAACCGACACGGAUGAGUUUCUACACAAUCAAACAAUCUGUGACUUUGCAACGCUUGCAGGGACAUACUCUAGAUGGUGUUUUAGAUUCUGGUAUUUGUUCUAUCCAAAUGUAGUAUGCAAGAUUUCCC